CUUCACCGCUUUAGUACUGAAUCUAUCAGCAACAACGCAACUCAGCCACUCACGCCAUAGUCCACCGUCCCCUUCCUCAACUCCAUCCCCAAAUUGGAAGACUCACCCCCUCCUCCCAAAAUCCAUUGACAUAUCUCACGCGCCCUGCCACCAGCUCCAUCAGCACCACCGGCUGGGUCUGUUGUCCCCUGCUCCAAGAAUCAGCCGGUGGAUGGCCAAGUCGGCAAGCAGCGCCUCCGUGUCUGCGUGGAGGAGGACCAGUGGCGCGCUCCACCACAACAUCACCACCGAGCAGCUCGUGGUGUCCUUCUUCGCAGUAGGAGCUGACCAACCCGUAGCUCCCGGCCGACGCCGUGGCCUGCGUCAAGGUCAGCUACGUUGUGCUGCGGCUUCUCCAGCGAGACAUCCUCGGCGGCUCGUCCUCGUUGUCACGCACGGUGACGGGUGAUCCCGCUGUCGCAGUCCUCUCCUUCAACCCUCGAGCCUAGCUGCCGCACGGAGCGGCAUCCUCUCUCCGCCCUGCCUAAGUCCGUCGAGCAGCCAGCAGUCAGGUUUGCUACGGCCCCAUCGAUUUCGGUCCGUGGAGGAGCUCAGCCUCCGUGGAUCCCUCAAUGUCAGCACCGCCAACUUCGGCAGCCAGCAGCGUUGGGGCAUGUCAACUCGCGCUUGCGCAGCUCCUCGGCUGCACCUCGUCAACCCAAGGCAAGCCCCGAGCGACUGUGGCUAGGAACGGAAAAAAAUAAUCAGUGGAAAGCGAAGGAGGGGGCUGGGGGCGAUAGGGAUGGCGGCGGACAACAUGUUCUCUCGUCGCUUGUUGUGGGUCGCUUGGGCCGCCGCUGAACAGGAGCGCGAUGGUCAAUCGCUGUGGGGGACGAACGGCCUGCGUGUUUGGGGCAGAGGGCAGCGCGGAAGAAGUUCUGUCCGUCAGGAGCCACUGAAGACUAUUAGCGUGGCACACCGUGUCGUAAAUGGGAGCACGCAGCCAGGAGAGAAGCGGGAUAAUGCAAUGGACCGACGAUGAGCUCGAGCUGACUGUGGAUUCAGUCAUCAACAGGCGGAUGUAAACGCUGUGCUAAUGUGGCUCAGAGGUUUUUGAAUCUGAUUAGGAUUUUGGGCGUGCAAGAGUUUACAACCAAUCAGGGACUAAGAGAUAAUUCAAGAAGCCAUUAAGAGCUGGAAUAGAGACUCAAAGAUGGAUGGAAAAGGAGACAGAAGGUAUCUUGCAUUACCGACGCUGGAGACAUCCUGUGGUGGCGGCACCCGAACCUGCGACCCCUGCGCCCCUAGCUGCACCGACCAAUGACUAGACGCCACAGAUGCUUCUUCUGCCCAGCUCCAGCCACCGAAGGUAUGGAUGAGUUGUUACUCUACAUACAUCCAUCCAUCUCAGAUUAAAGCAAAGAUGCUUUGAGGUCUGUGCUAAAGGUUAAAUUAAGAGGUCAUGGUACUACUACAACUUAUGUUGUGCUAGCCAAUGCUACAUGAAGCAAGAGCGGAUGUAGAAAAUGAUACUCAUACUCCGGAAAGCAUUAUUCUCUCCUAAGGCAAGCCAAAUCCGUUGUACGGCAGAUACUUCCGCAGGUGCAUUACCGAAUUUUCUGGUUAAAUACAUUACAAGAUGUUUCCCGCGAUCAGUUAUAUCAAUUUUUGCACCCCCAAGUCGACCAUGAUAACAAAAAUGUAUCCCUUCCCCCAUAUUUGGCUAACUGUCCAAUAUUCAGGCAGGUACCCUUCUGUUGAAAAUGCCUAAUUAUGUGUUCUCUUCAAUCUAUCAAUAGUAAGAAUUGGUGCCCAUGCCUGAUUUUUUACUGUUGAACUGCAUGGCUCCUGUACCACUAGAAUUGUUCAAGCUAUAAUUAGGAAGUUGAUUGCACAAAGGUAUGAAUAUAGAAAAUUAUCAUUUACAGCUUCACUCGAGGCUGUAAAUGAUAAUGUAACAGAGCUUUGUAUAUUGUAAGGCUUAACUAUUUGGAGUUGUUGACUUGAGUGAAAACAGAAAAGUAACGUUUAACAAUAAUUAAAUUCUCCUAUGUACUGAUUUUUUGUAUUCCCUACUACCACUUCACUGUAAUGGUUUUCCAUGUUUUAUGUCCUCUACAAUCGAAUUGUUUCUGGAUGGUUGCAUGUGUACUCAUGAGGUGUUCAUGUUCUAUAAAUUUCCAAAAUAUUGGCUAAGUCUACUGCAUGGUUCUAACAACCUAAUGGUUAUGUUAUACUACAUGGUCAAUGCAAUUCGGUUUGCUAGCCAAAUUUUUUUUUGGGUUGGAUAAGCCAGAGACAAAAAUAGAAAAAACUGAACUCUCACCGUACUAAUCUGCUAUGGUGGAGGCACUAUCUGCUUUAACAUCAGAACCCACAUGUUUGAGAUGACAAUCAAUUCGAGUUAUUAUGUACUCUGCAAGUGCACUACAAAAUGGCUAUUUGUAAGCAUGGUAGGAUACUAUAAUUGUAUAUUUGUGAACUAACCCUUUGCAACCAUGCUACUCUAUUUCACCUUACAGAAGGAUUGCAUCAGCGAAACCACCCAUGCAUAUCCUCACCCCACUGAAAGUAUCAACUACAGUAAGACACAUCCUUUAUUUCAAGAGCCACCAAAGGCGAUCGGGUUGGGUGUUGCUUCCUAAAAGAUGUUGAUAUUUGUGGGUCUCGAAUUGCAGAACUACAAGAAUAUAUCUUGCUAAGACACAGGCAAUUAAGUCUUGAUAUGAUGGUACAAGAAAUUGUUGAAGGUUACAGCCAGGAUCAUCGUGUAUGAGUGGUGAACUAAACGUUCAAUCUAUUGGUGUUCAGGGCUUCA
This is a long non-coding RNA of Lolium perenne, 2797 nucleotides long. RefSeq lists it as uncharacterized. Lineage: Eukaryota; Viridiplantae; Streptophyta; Magnoliopsida; Poales; Poaceae. The record is from RefSeq and is a predicted model, not a curated record.